This 256-nucleotide unclassified non-coding RNA is filed under the name uncultured fungus. RNAcentral's name for it is "partial contains 5.8S ribosomal RNA, internal transcribed spacer 2, and large subunit ribosomal RNA". Lineage: Eukaryota; Fungi. The record is from RNAcentral.
AACGCACAUUGCGCCCCUUGGCAUUCCAUGGGGCAUGCCUGUUCGAGCGUCAUCUACACCCUCAAGCUCCGCUUGGUGUUGGGCGUCCGUCCCCGCCCCCGCGCGCGGACCCGCCCCAAAUCCAUUGGCAGCGGCCCUCCGGCCCCCUCUUGCGCAGCACAUUGCGCCUCUCGAGGGCGGCUCCCCGGGCCGCGACCCACCCAAGAUGGCCACCGUCUUUGACCUCGGAUCAGGUAGGGAUACCCGCUGAACUUAA